CCUACGGGGGGCAGCAGUGAGGAAUAUUGGUCAAUGGGCGAGAGCCUGAACCAGCCAAGUCGCGUGAGGGAGUACUGCCCUAUGGGUUGUAAACCUCUUUUGUCGGGGAGCAAAAGCCGGACGUGUCCGGCUGUGAGAGUACCCGAAGAAAAAGCAUCGGCUAACUCCGUGCCAGCAGCCGCGGUAAUACGGAGGAUGCGAGCGUUAUCCGGAUUUAUUGGGUUUAAAGGGGGCGCAGGCGGAUUUUUAAGUCAGCGGUAAAAUCGAGGGGCUCAACCCCAUCCAGCCGUUGAAACUGGGGAUCUAGAGUGUGCGAGAGGUAUGCGGAAUGCGUGGUGUAGCGGUGAAAUGCAUAGAUAUCACGCAGAACCCCGAUUGCGAAGGCAGCAUACCGGUGCACAACUGACGCUCAGGCACGAAAGCGUGGGUAUCGAACAGGAUUAGAUACCCGGGUAGUC
This 458-nucleotide ribosomal RNA is filed under the name uncultured bacterium. Its description in RNAcentral is "partial 16S ribosomal RNA". It matches the Rfam family "Bacterial small subunit ribosomal RNA", at positions 338 to 795 of the family's 1533-position model. The record is from RNAcentral.